AGGGCAAAAAGCGGGUACCAUGGCACGGCACGUUAUUAGUGACUGACUUGAGAUCUGGUUGCUGAACGUGCACUUUUUUUAAAUAAAUUUGGCGCAACACCAUCAAAAUACUAAAAAAAACUGUGCGUGAAUCCAUGAUUGAUAAAUUCCCCCCAAAGUACCUAUUUUUCCGGGCCUGUUGUGUAAGCGAGCGUUUAAUGACUUCUUCAGAAUGGCUUCCUGAGUUUGUUUCCCUGUCAUAUGUGGGAGGUCACCGUACUCCUACAUAACAACUCCCGGAUAGAUGAAUUUAAUGUUGUUCAAUUCCUCCUACUCAAUAUCCGCCCCCUCCACAUUGCAUCAGCGCAGUUCUUUAUCUCCAUGGGAACCAUUACUUGUGAUGACCUCAUCUGAUGGAACCACGUUUUUCCCCGAUUGUCUUACUUAAAAUGUAACCCCUUAGCUGAUGAUAAGCUGGAACAUAGGAACAGCUUUUCUUUAUUUAUUUUUUUCUUAUAUAACUUUUUCUUUUUUUUGUUUUCUUAUAUAACUUUAUGUGCUUUUAGGCUGCUAGUAAACAUAGAUUUUUUUUAAAUGGAUAAUGUCUCUUUAAAAUGAUGCCGGGGUCAAGACAAUAGCUAAGCACCUGCUCUUCCUUUUGAACCUCAGAUAUUCAAGGCUAUGAAAGAAAAAUAUAAUUUUAUGUAUACAGCUGUCCCAUCUCCCAUGGUGGAGUACAAUGGUGGUAUUUAGUGAUCAUGGUUCCAGUCUAUGCGAGUUAUGGGGAUGUAAUUAUCUGAAGCUGGUAAACAUGAAGAACUCGGGAGAUCUUGGUUUUGCAGAAGCCCAGCUGCUUGCUUCAGCCAACGUUGAUUAACAAAUAAGAAAAAGAAAGUUAUUGGUUUAAGAAAAAAGUUUGCGCUAAAAGCCCUGUAUUAGUGUUUCGUACAUUUGGUGUGUGGGCGUUUCACCAGUCAGGCGUUUCAGGUAGAGUGUCGUCCCUGGAUUUGGGAUAAGGGCCAUGGUGAAUAUUUGAAUAGAACCAGACGUGAAGAAGCAUGGCAUGAGAUUGCAGUAGCCUUAUUUGACAACUUUGAUCAAAUGUCUUCUUCAAUUCAGAAUGAGAUUUUAAAGGACAUCAGAAACCGAUGGAAAUCUGCAAGCGACUAUUUUGUGAAGGGUAUCAAGAAAGCAGAAAAAAGUGGGUCAGCUGGUGGCAAAAGGAAAAAAAUACCCAAUGAGAACCAACUUCAAUUUUUAUGCCCUAACAGAGUUUUCAGACUAACUUCAACUUUCAGGCACCAUCAAAUACACAACAAGAUGCAGAUGAAGAGCCAAGGUUUGAGCCAGUACGUUCAGACACACCUUUGGAAUCUGAAGCACCAGACCCAUCCAAUCCGUUGGAAUAUUUUGACCAACAUCUGGAUGUAGAGGAGGAUGUGUCUAACCUUAGCAGUGAUUAGCCCCCCAGUAGUACACCUACACCAGCUGCUGGUGAGAUUGAAGAGAUGGAAGAAGCCACAAACAUCCCUUCUUCACAAACAACGACAAGACCACCCACAGAACGUAGAUCCCUCCGAAUAACUGAUAGUCAGCUUGAGGUUGAAAGUCAAGCUCUAUAAUUUAUUCGGAGGGUUGACAGCAGUGAUGACAGUUCUAAUUUUGGUUAUGAAAUGGCAUCUUGCUGCCGUAAAGUGCCUCUUGACCACCAAAGCCAUUUUAAAGCAUACUGUCACGCUGUUGCGCAAGUCUUUCUUUCCCCCCAGGCCCUGCCUCCAUUAGAGGAUAUGAUAAAAAAUGUGCACAUCACAGCUGGACACAGGGCCCCCAGCCCUCCACCACCUGCACACAAUAUUUCCACACAAACCGAGGGUUUUUAUGUGGGUAUUUACAACCCCCCGCCUUCUUGGUCCUCUUCUGGGGUUUACCCCUACCAUCCUCCCUUUCAGACACAAUACCCUAGUAGCAGUGUAAUUAGCCACCACAACCCCUCUGCAUCAUCUGCAUUGGAGUCUUUUUCCUCAGAACCCACAUAUCACAAUCUGUGAUUUUUCCCAUGAGCAUCAUUGAAGUUGGUCCACACAUUUUCUUGUUGCAUUGUUUGUACAUUUUAUGUCCAGAUAUUUAUCUUGUAAAAAUAUAUUUUGAAUGCAUUGUUGCUUUCAAAUGUUAAAAAAUGUUUAUAAAGUGUAAUUUUAUGGCUAGUUCGCCAAAUUUUCA
This is a long non-coding RNA of Hyla sarda, 2199 nucleotides long. RefSeq lists it as uncharacterized. The transcript is spliced from 6 exons. The record is from RefSeq and is a predicted model, not a curated record. Lineage: Eukaryota; Metazoa; Chordata; Amphibia; Anura; Hylidae.